GUUAUUGGGUAUCAAAACCUAAUAGCGAAAUUAACAUAACUUUUUAUGGGAUUAGUUUUUAGAUUAUUUAUAGUCUAUUAAUUCAAUCCCGGGGCGUUCUAUAUAGUUAUGUAUAAUAAUAUUUAUAUUAUUUAUACCUCUAACUAGAGCGUACCUUGAGCAUAUAUGCUGUGACCCGAAAGAUGGUGAACUAUACUUGAUCAGGUUGAAGUCAGGGGAAACCCUGAUGGAAGACCGAAACAGUUCUGACGUGCAAAUCGAUUGUCAGAAUUGAGUAUAGGGGCGAAAGACCAAUCGAACCAUCUAGUAGCUGGUUCCCUCCGAAGUUUCCCUCAGGAUAGCUGGUGCAUUUAAAUAUUAUGUAAAAUAAUCUUAUCUGGUAAAGCGAAUGAUUAGAGGCCUUAGGGUCGAAACGACCUUAACCUAUUCUCAAACUUUAAAUGGGUAAGAACCUCACCUUUCUUGGUAUGAAGGUUGUGGUUGUGAUAUAAUGUGCCCAGUGGGCCACUUUUGGUAAGCAGAACUGGCGCUGUGGGAUGAACCAAACGUAAUGUUACGGUGCCCAAAUUAACAACUCAUGCAGAUACCAUGAAAGGCGUUGGUUGCUU
This 608-nucleotide ribosomal RNA is filed under the name Ravinia floridensis. RNAcentral describes it as "eukaryotic LSU rRNA". It matches the Rfam family "Eukaryotic large subunit ribosomal RNA", at positions 690 to 1233 of the family's 3401-position model. Lineage: Eukaryota; Metazoa; Arthropoda; Insecta; Diptera; Sarcophagidae. The record is from RNAcentral.